UGACUCCAAGUGCUACUGCAGCUCCACUCUCGCAGCCUCAGCCCUCUCCCCGUCAGCAGGUUUCUAGGCAGCAACUUCCACCCCCACCUCCCCUUCCACCUCCACCACCUCUAUCCAACCCGCCUCUGGCCAAGGAGCGUGUUGCCCAUCUGCCACCGCCACCUCCACUAAUUCCAGAGAAACAUGACCCUCCAAUUGUUACUCUAGAUGAUCUCUUUCGGAAAACCAAAGCAACUCCCCGGAUCUACUAUCUUCCGUUGUC
RNAcentral lists this long non-coding RNA (262 nucleotides) under Jatropha curcas. RNAcentral describes it as "long non-coding RNA (JCUR_LNC000067)". Lineage: Eukaryota; Viridiplantae; Streptophyta; Magnoliopsida; Malpighiales; Euphorbiaceae. The record is from RNAcentral.